UACGUAGGGGGCAAGCGUUGUCCGGAUUUAUUGGGCGUAAAGAGCGUGUAGGCGGUUUGGUAGGUCCGUUGUGAAAACUCGAGGCUCAACCUCGAGACGCCGAUGGAAACCAUCAGACUAGAGUCCGGAAGAGGAGAAUGGAAUUCCUGGUGUAGCGGUGAAAUGCGCAGAUAUCAGGAAGAACACCCGUGGCGAAGGCGGUUCUCUGGGACGGUACUGACGCUGAGACGCGAAAGCGUGGGGAGCGAACAGG
This 253-nucleotide ribosomal RNA is filed under the name uncultured bacterium. Its description in RNAcentral is "partial 16S ribosomal RNA". It matches the Rfam family "Bacterial small subunit ribosomal RNA", at positions 524 to 776 of the family's 1533-position model. The record is from RNAcentral.